This is an RNA transcript of Fundulus heteroclitus (mummichog), 1480 nucleotides long. It is a transcript of the gene named nucleoredoxin-like protein 1, with no coding region annotated. NCBI's taxonomy places the organism in Eukaryota, Metazoa, Chordata, Actinopteri, Cyprinodontiformes, Fundulidae. The transcript has 5 exons. The record is from RefSeq and is a predicted model, not a curated record.
CCUUCAGUGGACCACAGAGUGCAGGCUGAAACAAAUGACAGAGAGGAGCGAAGAGAUAGUGAAAGGUGUCACUGAAAUAACACAUUUCCAGGAUUCAAAGGAAGACAGGAAACGGAUCGAAUAAAAAACAAACAAAAAAAAACUCCACAAUGGUUUGACAGCCGUGGAUCUAUUUCUUGUUGGAGUGUGAGGAGUUUCAAGGUGAGGCUUCCCCGUUCCUGCCUGGCAACAUGGUGGACCUGUUCCUAAACCGGGUUCUGGUGGAGAACAACUCGGAUCAGGACGAGCUCAACACGGAGCGUGAGAUCAUUGGGAUCCUUGAAAACCGCAUCCUGUUGCUGUUCUUUGCCUCAGCUGAGUGCGAGAGGUGCCAGAAGUUUGUGCCCGUUCUCAACAGGUUCUUUAAGAAGCUGAAGGAUCCGGCGUACAUCGAAUAUCCCAAACUGCUCGCUCUCAUCUACGUCAGUUUGGACCAAUCUGAGGAGCAGCAGGAAAAAACUCUCAAAGAGCUCCACAAAAGGACCUUAUUCUUGGCAUUUGAGGACCCAUACAGGAAGGAGCUGCAGGCCAUGUUUAAGGUGAAGGACAUCCCAGCAGUGGUGGUCCUGCGUCCCGAUGGCUCCGUCCUCUCGCCGAAUGCCGUGCAGGACAUCUCUCAUCUCGGCACCGACUGCUUCCGCAACUGGCAGGAGUCAGCCGAGCUGGUCGAGAGGACAUUCAUGCUCAACGAGGAGUUCGAUGAUCCUAAUCUGCGGAGCGUCACCGACCCCGUGAGGAGGCUCAAGUACAAGACCGAGGACGACAAGAGGAAGAAGAGAUGGUGGAAGUUAUGGGUGAAGGGAAAAGACGGAAACGACGAGGAGGAAGAAGACGAAACCAGGGACGUGAAGAGAAAGAAUGCUGAUAAUGGCAUUUGGCCAAGAAGAUGAGAGGGUUGUUGUUUUUUAUGACAAUGCUUAUUUUUAUAAUGCCUCCUAACUAUAGAUUUAUUUUGGUUUGCUGUUUUUUGCUAAUUCCUUUCCUGUCUCCAAGAAAUCUGUGAGGAUAUAAAAUUAAUAAAGAAAAUUUAAAUGACCUGUAAUUUUUUUUAACUUUAUUUAGAUAAAACGCUCAGCAAUGUGCAAAGACAACAUUUGUUGAUUUUGCCAAAUGUUUUUGGUGUUCCGGAGAAAAAUGUGUAUGCAAAAUAUCAUUAAAUGCCAAAGAUAAGAAAACAAAAUGUAAAGCAUAGUUUUAUGAAAUGUUUUUGCUUGAUGAUGUUUUUUGUGCUAAAUAAAACAGAGGUCAACCCAUGUAGCAUGUAUACGCCAACAACUGUAAUACUUACCACACUAUGGAAUAAAACAGAUGAAUGAAAAGCUUUUCAUUUUCUGUUUAUAUUUGAGCCAAUGUUAAUAUCAUAGUUUAGCUAGCUGCUGCAGGAAGCUAGAAGAGUAUCUGUGGGAUUGCUGGUAAUCUACUGAUGGUGGCUGAUAUAUGA